This is an RNA transcript of Paramacrobiotus metropolitanus, 2962 nucleotides long. It is a transcript of the gene named mucin-5AC-like, with no coding region annotated. Lineage: Eukaryota; Metazoa; Tardigrada; Eutardigrada; Parachela; Macrobiotidae. The transcript is spliced from 10 exons. The record is from RefSeq and is a predicted model, not a curated record.
CAUGUAUCGUAAAUUAUUUUCGUGGUUAGCCGACCAGAAUGUGUUUACCACGAUGCGCAGUAAUCCACAUUCUGCGUUAAAAUCCAGUUUGCGCUGCAAAAGUGAAUUAUUGUCUCUUCGCUUAGUAUAUAGUUCUUUCAUGACAUAUAAUUUCGGCUGGUUAUUAUUAUUUUAAAUGUAUGUAAAAGUAUUCUAAAUGGCUUCGUAUGUUGCUGAUGAUAUUUUAUUUUGGAUCUGCGCAUGCAGCUAGCCACAUGCGAAAAUUAUUAUCUUUCUUUAACGACUUUGUCUUUCUGUCAACAUCGUUCUGUCUGCCUGGAGGCUGGAUGGUAAUGGUUGGUGAGGAAGUAUGAGUUACAUGACACUGGAGAAAAGCCACGAAAAAAUGAAAAAGCGCUAAUCUUUUGCUAUACUGACACAAAGGUAGCCAGAUCACGUUUUAGAGCUGUCAGCAAUCAUCUGUACUCAGACAAAAGCAGCCGCAGGUCAAGCCACUUCAGCGAUCACCGGUGCCCAUAUAUAUAUUAUACGCAAAGCAAUCUGCGGAAGAUAUACCUGGCUCGACCGUAAUAGCCUUCCAUCGGUGCUGCCCACCACCCAGGUGAGCGUUAUUCACGACCAAGUGCAAGAACCGGCGCUGUCCCGGAAAAAUGCCGAUAAUGGGAGCCCGGCUGACGUGGCUUUCGAAAUGUCGUGUGCGGGUCUGACAUCCGCAGCUGCUCUGCACUGCCCCUGCGCGGGGAUUGGACAGCGCUGCGCUGACCAGACUUCAAUCUGCAAUGCAGAUCACAAGUGUGUUUGUGAUUCCGCUCUUGGUUACCAGGAUGCCGCUGGGAAGCACUGCAUCCGUUACCCAACCACCACUCCUUUUACCUACCCCACCUGUCCAGUUUGUCCAGCUUGUCCAACUGUGACGUGCCCAACUUGUCCAACCACCACGACGGCAACGUGCCCAACAACCGCCACUACGACCACAACUACGAUGACCACCACGACGAAACCAACAACGACUACAACAGCACCAGCAUUCCCGGCUUGCUCGGCGGCAGGAGCCACCUACGACGGUAUAAAUACAGUUGCUUGUGGAGACUGUUUCUUCAUAACAGAUGUGAAGACUAUAACGAUCAUGGCCGAUGGGAGUGGCGUUUCUGUGUGUACGUUCCUGUUGAUUGGCUCUCCUGGUAGCACACUGCAGAUAAAUCCUGUGACGGUUACCCUGCUGACAGCUGCUUUGCUGAGUUGGUGAUCUGAACCGAACACCAUUAGACCGUCGCACCGUAUCCUCGGUUGACCGUUCAGUGAGAGAGAACACCAGCUCGUUGUCUCCUUAGACGCGUACACUUCUCUCUCGGCGUGUGUAACCGGCAAAAGGUGGACGGGUGUAAGGUUGAAAUUCAAUAACUUUUCGCCGUUUUUGAUAUGAUUCAAAAUUAACUGAUUUGAAAUGAAAUGGAAUUUAAAAUUUAAAAAUGAGUUGUUUACUUAAUUUUUUGUUUGGUUAUUUCGAAAAAUUUUACCUUAUUUUUUCAACUUAUUGUAAGAACUUUUAAGCAGAUUUCAUGAUUUCCUACACUCAAAACUAAUUAAAUAUUAAUUUAAAGAAAUUGUUUUCCAUUUCAGAUCGUUUCAAACGCAUUUCAAGUUUAUAAUUUCAACUUUUCACAUUUCAAAUCAUUUCACAUCACAUUUCAAACUGGCCCUCGUUUGAAUUUGAAAUGAUUCAAUUCGAAGCUUGAAAUGUGAAAUGUUUUAAAUUGUGAUUUCAACCCUAGAUGGGUGAAUGGUGGAUGUUCAAUGAAAUCGCGUCCUCGUUUCUGCCAAAUCAACCCGUCGGCGUCGAUUGAUCUGACAACAACGCCCUUGAGUGCAUUAAGGCCCAUUGUAAAAUUAUAUCAAUGCAAGCGUGCACAUCUCCAGCAGAAUGGUGGAUGCAGUCAGCCAAAUAUGUCUUUCAGUCUGGCUGACUAUGUCGUCCUACUCGUUUUCAUCUUCUGAGUGAUUUUUAUAUUUUUAUAAUUAAAAUAUCACCCUACGGUAGAAGUUACGAGGAGGGCGGUAGUCACGUCGUCAAUGGUGAAACUGCUUUAUUAUGCGUCACCAGCCACUAGCCAACCUCGAUUAUGCGUCACUAGCCACUACUGGCCCAGAGCCAGACAAUACAUAAUUAUGCGGGUUUCAUACAGAGAUCGUGUGUUUACUGUUUAGUCACCGAUAGCGUUUAAAACGGCUCCAGAUGAAACUUAUCUAGCUGUAACCAUCACAAAAAUAGCAGCUUUAUUAUCGGUAGUAAAGACCAUAUUCCGCAUAUUUUUGUUUGAGGUGCUACAUACCCAGAGUUGAUUGGUUAUACCCAGAACUCUGAGACUGGAAGACAUUCGAGAUUAAUGUGCGAGACACCCGGCUGGUACAGUAGUAAGUUAUUCCUCGGCCCGUCAGCGGGUUGGUUGAUGUAAUUGGCAUCAGGUUCAGUUCCAUAAAAUUACACGCCAACGAUGCAACUGAGCAGUAUAAAGGUUUCUUGUUAUAGAGUUGCGCCGUAACAACCCUGAUAAUCGAAAAAGUCGCUUACUGCAUUGGUACAACGGGUUUUACUAAUUCCAUUUCCGUAGCGGCCAGCAGUAUGAGCAUUGCCCUCUAUUCCAAUUUUGCACCGGCUUCCGUCACCUUCCAGGUUUCAGUCAUUCCGCCAACUGGAUGAACUUUCUCUCGGGAAAUGUCCAGAGAGAUUAGGGCGAAAUGCACCGCAAUCCCGAUACAGGAAAAAAGCCAAAAGCAGGACGAACAACAGACUGGUAUCUUCGCGGUUAAAUUGUGCGCUAAUUAAGACUGACUAUCGAAUUUAUUAUAAAAGAACUAUUUCCAUUGGCAUGAGUGCCGAGAAAGUCUGUUUCAUGGUUGAUUGCUGUGUUAUUAGUCUCUAUUCGGGCACACACGAGUAGUGUACACGCUGAUCUAACUGCGU